Molecule: non-coding RNA, 4819 nt
Organism: Phoenix dactylifera (date palm)
Lineage: Eukaryota; Viridiplantae; Streptophyta; Magnoliopsida; Arecales; Arecaceae
Source: RefSeq, a predicted model, not a curated record
AAUUGUGGUUGACUUAGCCCAUAAUUUGAUUUAAUUUAAAAGAGUCUAAGUUUAGUAGGAGUCCUAUUUAGAGAAAGAAGUCCUAAAUUUCAGAUUGUAAGAGUCCAACUUUUUCCAACCUCUUACUCUAUAUAAAGAAGGUUGAAGAAUAAGAUUCAGAGUUUGAAGAAAUUUUGUGACCUUUCACAUGAGAGGAGAGAUUCCUUUCUCUUGGUGUGAUGCCAAGUUGGUGGAAGGUUGAAGGUCCAUGGAUUGGUUUGAGAGUGAGAUUCUCUCAUCAUAAUCCUAGUUGUCUCCCCUUAUCCAUAUCUCACGCCAUCAUAGCAAUCUCUUUUCUUCCCUCACGCCAUAGCCAUUCUCACGCGAAAGCCAUAUUUCAUGCCAACACAACCCAUUCCCCAAGCCUAACCAAGAGUCCUAAACCCUUUAGGACUCCUCAUUCCCAUCACGCCAACAAACCCCUCACGCCAAACCCAAUCAAGUUAGGAUCCCAAACCAACUCCAUCCGCCUCUAACCCAAUCAAACAUAAUUCCCAAUUUCAGUCGCCAACCAUUGAACCCAAUUAAACUAAUUAGGCACCCUCAUCAUUUUCUUCCUCUUUUCUCCAUCCACAAAAAACCCUAACCACCACUAACAAAAAAAAGAAAAAAAAGAAGGAAGAAAGCAAUCAGCCGCCAUCCUCAAUCUUCAGCAAUCACCCAUCCUCUACUGCAUCACUGUGGCUAUUUCUCGAGGAUUUCAUUAUUUGUGAGUGCACAUUUGUGAUUUAUUGCAUCGCACAUGGUUUUAUAAAAGCUGAAGAGAAUUUGUUCUCGGAGGAUUUGGUGAAAGGGUUUUAGAAAGAGUUUGCAGAGAAGCCUUCUGCAACCAGAUCUUAGCUUCUAUGGCAAAACAGGUUGUAGGAUGCAUGAGUGGCUCCACCGGGGACGCACAAGGAUUUACAGACAAUAUCAUCUCCACCGCAUCAUCAAUAAAACUACGCUAUUUAUCGAUUGUAGAUGGGGAAUUAGUGGCCAUUCCUGACAUGAUCAUGAAGCAGACAUCCUUGAGGACCUUAGGCUCCUUUCACAGACCACUUGUUUGCAAUCUUCCCAAAGAUAUUUUCGAAAAACUCAGGUGUUUGAGGAUCCUAAAAUUCAAAGAUACAGCCAUUAGCAAUCUACCAACUUCCUUAACAGCUCUUAUACAUUUGAGAUUUCUUAAUCUCACUGGUACUCAAAUAAGAGAAAUACCAGAGAGCAUAGGAAUCUCAAAAACCUGCAAUUCCUGACCCUCGCAGAAUGUAAAUACUUGCACAGCCUCCCUUGCAGUGUCGUACAGCUAACGAAUCUAAGAACACUUUAUCUUGAAGGUACACCACUUGAUGGGAAUAUGGAGAUUGCAGCAUCUAAAUUUAUUUACUGGAUUAAUGGUGAAUAGCAGGAUGGUUGGCAGGAGCACAAGCACAAGGGACAUCACAAACAUGGUUUAUGCACCUUGGAAGAGCUGGAAAUCCCUCUCCCAGCUCAGAUAUCUUACCGCAUUCAAGUUGGAGAGCGUAUCAGACACAGCUGAAGCAAAAGCUGCUUCACUUGUAACCAAACCUCGACUGUCUUCGAUACCUGCAUCUGCACUGCAAACUACCAAGCAAUUCUGAUGUACAUCCUCAUGCAUGCAGUGAAUAAGAGAUCAAGAAGAUUAAGGAGGUCUUCAAGGAGCACUGCCCACUGCCAUAACUAGAAAGCCUUAGCAUCCGUGGUUGCUUUGGCCAUCUGGAUGACGGAACUCUCAUCGUUGCUUCUCAACUUGCAAAGAUUGGGGCUAGAAGAUUGUAUUCAUUGCAAGCAGCUUCCACCCUUUGGAUUGCUACCACAACUAGACUACUUCAAGAUUUCAGGUGCUUCUGCAGUCACAAGCAUUGGAUCUGAAUUAUUGGUGGCUGGAAGCAGUGCUGGUGAAAGGCUCCUACUUCGCCAAGCUAGUGAAACUUUUCUUCAUCGGCAUGCCUAAUUGGGCAGAAUGGUGGUGGCAGUUGGAGGAUAACCAGAUAAUGUUGUUGCUACCUUCUCUUGAGAUAUUGAAGAUUGUUGAGUGUCCCAGUUUGAGGUCCCUUCCAGAUAGGCUCCUUUGCCAUGCCACUGCCUUGAGAGAUCUAUAUAUUAAAGGUGCGCAUAACCUCAGAGAAAUACAAAACCUCCUCUCUGUUACAAAAUUAAGCUUGAUUGACGAUAAAAGUUUGGAAGGAGUAUCAAACAUCCCUGCACUUGAACUUAUACUUGUUAAUGGUUGUGAGGAGUUGGAAGUUUGUGGAGGGUGUUAAUGCACUGGAACACAUCUGUUUUACAUGGCGCUCGAUGAUCAGAAACCAGAGUUCUUUCCACUGUGGCUGGCGGGAGCAGCUGCAGAGUCCUUGGCUCGAGAAGCUGUCCCUUAUAGGAAAAAUUUAUUGCUGAGGGCUCCCUGGGUGACCUGCAAUCUAAUGCUUCAUGUUGAAGCCAUCAGUGAUGAUGAACUGAUUCAGAGCUCUUACAAGAAGGAUUUCUGUCUUCAAGACCAACCUAAACAACAACAGCAGCUGCGUAAGUCUCAAAGCAAAGUUGGUGAAUGAAUAGCAACUCUCAGACAUAAAGGUAAAUGGUUCCUCUUUAUUAUGUUGCCGUUUUACCAUAAAACAGGAGCAUCUUCAGGCAGUUUUGUUAUAUAAUACAUGAUCAGAAGUUCUCUGUGAAGGCUUUAAAUAUGGCAAAUUCUGCUGAGGAAUUGCAGUGAGCAAGGGUAGCACUGGAUGAUCUGCAUAGCAAUUCCUCAAACUGGAUAUGGCUGUGUGAUCAUUAUGGCUUCUUCUCCACCAAUCCCCCUCAGUAGUAGAAGUCACAAGACAUGAUAUUUAAGCAAAAAUCAAGCCUAUAAGGCACUAAUUCAGAAGCAGUCUAAUCUCCGGUGCCAAGACUCCUUUCUUCACCUUCAACACUGAAAUAAGUGAUCGUCAGGGGAAAAUAAGAGUUGCAUUAGCACAUGCAAAAAAGCAAUAUCAAGUGUAAAUUAGUUCUUAGUGCACAAUUACCAUAUUCUAAUAUAUAGAUAUUUUUUUAGGCUCCUUGGUGAACAGGUACCAUCAGAGUUUGACAUUUUAUGAAUGAUAAUUUUGUUCACGCCCUUUUGUUUCUUUUCAGUAUAUUUCAUUUUUCAGCCCACCAGAUCAGUUCCAUUAUAUGUUUCCAACGGCUACUGUGCAGGGCUUUGUAAGACCAGCAUUAUCUGGCACAAGUUUAACUGAUGGUAUUAAUUCUGAAAAAUAUCUGCUAACAGAUAAAUGUUCACAGACAGUUGCCAGUUUUGAAGCUUGCUCGUAAUACUGAAGAGUGAAAUCAAAAAUGAAUUUCAUGGCAUCAGGGGUAUGUGAUGUCAAAGCCUACAUCUGAACAAAACCUUGUUUGUUGGAUAGAAAGAACUUUCUGUCCAUGGAUGUGAUUGGAUGUUUGUUCAUGGUGGAGGUUUUCUCUACUUUGUCAUUCCUUUUCCUUUCAGCUGAACCAAUUUAUGCAGAAGGAUGGAAGAUAAAACAAAACAUGGAAGAAGAUAAGAAAUCUGUAGAAGAUUACGAACAUCCGCAAACUAGAUCAAGUGAUGCUCUUGUUAGUCUUCAAUACACAACCACUAAGCAGAUUCAGUCCUCUAAGACAAUUGCAAGGAAAAUAUAAAUAGAUAGGUAUAUUUUUAUGCAUGCUGUAACCUAAGUGACUUGUUUUCGCCAGUGCCUCAAUUUUCAUACAAGUGUGCAUGCUUAUUUCUGCUGCAAUCUCAUUCCACAUUCUUAGUUUUUUUAAUAUAAAGAACUAUAUGCUACAUAAUAUACAGCAAACAAUUUAUAUUUUUGAGCAAUGCUUGCUUUGUGUCUUUAUUAAGGGGCCCCUAAGGGAAUAAGCAUGCCCAAGCAUAAAUAAGAUUGGUGCUUCGGCUGGCUAAGCCAUCUUGAGUUGGAAUUAACCUAACCUUAAAAUGUUACUCUGCAGCUAAAGCAAGAGUCUGAACUCUUAAAUCAUGCAUCUUCUACGUAAAAAUAAAUUGGUAAGUAAUGGACUACCCCAUUAAUUGCUGAUUAUGAUGACAGCUUUAGUGCAAUCAGGCAAAUCAAUGAACAACCAACGGGUUUAUUUGGUUCCUUGAUCGGUGGUUAGCAAAAUUUCCUUCUCAUAUCCAAUGUUCACAUACAGCAAAAGCACCUCCCAGAAAAUAAUUACCUAAGUUAACAUAUAUUAGAAUUCAAUCAACUUCCCUUCCUAGGGAAAGAGAUUUUUCUGUUAAAUUGAUUUUUAUGUUAAAUUAAUCUGUAAUGCACUUGCAUUUUGCUUGCCAGGCAAUGAAUAUCAGUAAAGGAAAUGGCAAUGCCAAAAUGUCAACACCUCCAGCCAGAUAAAAUGCUUCAGAUGCUCUGUUAGCAGACACAGUAUCAUGCAUGGUCCCUGUAGAAGUUGGACGGAUUUAGAAAAGAAAAGACACAGAAAGAAAGAGAUUCAAACUUCAAAGAUUAGGAACUAGGAGAAAAGAAGAGGAGGAACAAUGGGAAACAGGAAGGCCACACAUAACUGAAAUGAGCAUUGCUGAUAAACAACACAAAAGGUUAUUUUAUUGACCUUUAGCAGUGCAUGGCUCUUAACACUAAUAUGAAUGAUCAGAAAUUCUUCCAAAUAUAUAUGACAACUGCAAAGAAGUAUACUAAAAGAGGAGAAACAAUGGGUAACAGGAAGGCCACAUGUACUGUAGCUGAAAUGAGCAUUUGCAGAUAAACUAUACAAAAGGUUAUAUUGACCUUCAGCGGAACAUGAUUCUUAACACUAA